This 464-nucleotide unclassified non-coding RNA is filed under the name Hevea brasiliensis (rubber tree). The record is from RNAcentral. Lineage: Eukaryota; Viridiplantae; Streptophyta; Magnoliopsida; Malpighiales; Euphorbiaceae.
AUCAGGAUGCCCAACAAUUUCUGUGCACCAUUUAAGAGAGCACGGUCCUCCCGCACAUUGUUGUCAACUUCAAUAAUCUUGGACCCGACCAGGAGUUGCAUCACCAUCCCAGAUGUGACGAUGGGGGUGAUCCCAAGCUCCAUGACAGUACCACGAUUGGAAGCGAGGAUCACACGCAUCCAAUAAAACGGAUCUGCGCCCGUGGUGGAAUGAAUCCCAUACAGAGGAAGCUGGCUGCAUACCAAGAAGAUGAAGAGGGCGAUGACAGUAUAAAUAACCUUCUCCCUGAAUGGAAUUUUCCGAUCGGCACUCUGCACCUCAGGGAGAAACGAAAGGAAUGGCCUGACCAGAUGAAGGACUCUAAACCCACCUCCCAUCUUCCUUCAACCAACUUAUUAUCAACAACCCGUGGCGCGGCAAGAGGAAGAGGAAGAGUCAAAGGCGACGGGUAAUCGUAAGGAUUG